UACGUAGGGUGCAAGCGUUGUCCGGAAUUAUUGGGCGUAAAGGGCUCGUAGGCGGUUUGUCGCGUCGGGAGUGAAAUCCACUGGCUUAACUGGUGGCUUGCUUUCGAUACGGGCAGACUGGGAGGUAUGCAGGGGAGAACGGAAUUCCUGGUGUAGCGGUGAAAUGCGCAGAUAUCAGGAGGAACACCGGUGGCGAAGGCGGUUCUCUGGGCAUGUCCUGACGCUGAGGAGCGAAAGUGUGGGGAGCGAACAGG
RNAcentral lists this ribosomal RNA (254 nucleotides) under uncultured bacterium. Its description in RNAcentral is "partial 16S ribosomal RNA". It matches the Rfam family "Bacterial small subunit ribosomal RNA", at positions 524 to 776 of the family's 1533-position model. The record is from RNAcentral.